GGCUUUGUCCAGUGGUAGUCUUGUAGCCAGUGAGGUUUAUCCAAGGUACAGAUACUGCUGCCUGAAAACAAAAUAUAAGACAAAUGUAUUUAAAACUAAAUCUGCAUUUACUGCUUUAGAAAAUGUGGUGUUGCA
Small nuclear RNA from Nannospalax galili (Upper Galilee mountains blind mole rat), 135 nucleotides. RefSeq annotates it as U4 spliceosomal RNA. The record is from RefSeq and is a predicted model, not a curated record. NCBI's taxonomy places the organism in Eukaryota, Metazoa, Chordata, Mammalia, Rodentia, Spalacidae. The transcript has a single exon.